GCCGUCUCAAAACGAGGAUGGAGAAAGCCACUCUAUGUGUUUUAUCGUACAGGCAAUUUUCAAUUCAGACAAGUAUCACUCAGAGCUUCGAUGUGUCAUUGUGACUGUUGGAAGUCAACCAACAGCCCCAACUAUGCUGGCUACAACAAAUGCACAAAGCACAACCACCAUUCCUACUAUAACUACCCCGCAAACUACAACAACCGACCCAGUCGCGCAAACUACAACC
Long non-coding RNA from Monopterus albus (swamp eel), 229 nucleotides. RefSeq lists it as uncharacterized. The record is from RefSeq and is a predicted model, not a curated record. The transcript has 3 exons. NCBI's taxonomy places the organism in Eukaryota, Metazoa, Chordata, Actinopteri, Synbranchiformes, Synbranchidae.